ACACAGGGAUGACUUGCCGUUACAAUACUCCCCCAUGUCUGAAGACUCGGAUGAAGCCAGGUUCUGCGAGGAGCCAAUAACAAGCACUAGCUCAUCCCAACCCGACAGCCGCCCUACUAGUCCUGUUUCACCUUACCGAUACCAAAGACCUCUUACUUCAACAACCUCACACCAUUCCUCAAAUUCACAUACACUCCCUGCCUCCAUGAGCACUACUAGUACUACUCCACAGUCUCGCCAAAGAGGAUCUGAUACGGAAGGAAGGUUUCCGUCAUCUCCUAGCGAUAUCUGCCAUUCGAGUGAUUUGAGAAGAACGGCUCUACUAAGGUCUGUUCAAAUGAGAACACAGCCUUGUGGUCAUGCUUCAACUUCUGGGACAAGCAAUGUUGACGGUGGUGAAGAGAGGAUGUGCUUUAAGUCUAUGGAAGAAGAUAAUAGAGGGGAAGAUCUCUCUUAUACUCAAGUCUCUGGUAAGAGCAAGUCUUGUAAAGCGUUGGACAUGAGACUAUGUGAACGAUGAUUUAAAGACUCUAUUCUCUAUCUUAAAAGACGGUUUUUUUCUUCGACAUUUCCACAUUAUAUAUGUUGUGGAUUGCAAUGAAGAACACUCCACUAAAGUUUCUAAUCUGGCUCAUUGCAUAGUUAGGCUUUGGUCGUUUGGUGGAUGUGGUUGAGAUGAGAAGCCGUCAUCACACUCUUAAAACAGAAAUCCAAAAGAGACAAGAAGACAAGCUUACAGAUCCAUUCAUGAUCUUGUUUAUAUAACCAUUUAUAAAUCAUUUUUGUAAUCAGAAUUUUAAAGACACCACCCUUUCUAUACCUAAGCCAAAUGUUACAAAAAAAAAAAAGUAUAAAAUUUGAAGAAUAUUAAAUCUACAAAAAAAAACUUUCUCUAGUUUGAAAUGAUGAAACUUUUAAAAUAAAAAUGUUUUUAAAAAUGCAUGUUUUAAUUUUUCUAAUGCAAUUUUUAUUAGAUAAUAAUAAUGAAUUAUAACUUUCAAAAAUAAUUGUACUUUUAAAAUAUUAUUAGUUAAGAAUUAUUGGCAUCGACAAAAAAGUUAAGAAUUAAAGGAAAUAGCUAAUUCCAGAAAAGAGUAUAUUUAUAAUCAGAUUUAAUAUUUCUUCUUAGUAUAUGUGAAACAGAAUAACAUUGAAAUUUUAGGACCAUAGAGUAUUAUUUAGCUUUAAUGAGGGGUUUUAGAAAAUAUUUUUUCUCAAAAGGAAGAGUAUUUUUCAAAUUUGAAAACAAAUUGACUCCAAAUGGUGACCAUAUAUUAGGGAACAACGAUAAGAAUAGAUUUAAUAUUCUUCAAAUUUUAUACUAAUUAUGUGAUUUUGUAGUCAAAUUAUUAACUAUGUGUCUCACUCCAUUCCUCUAUUUUCCUUAUGUAUAUAUGAAAAAUGUGUGAAGAAAUGAUUUUCGUACCAGUUUUGAUGAGGAAUGAAUUGACCAAAUGUUCAUACUUUUUAUUAACUAAAAACAAGAAAUUCAAAUUCUAGUUAUUUUUAACUGUGAUAUUUUUUUAAAAAAAAUAUUAUUUAAAAUUAUUGUAGCAAUCAACCAGGACCAAACUUAUAUAACAGGACCAAACUUGUAUAAAUAUGUAUAUGAAGGAAGUUGCAUUUUGUCUCAAAACCAAAAAUAUUAUUUGAUCACCAUGUCUCUUGCAAUUAGACUGAUGGGCAUGACACUCUCUAUUCAAAUCAUUACAUCUUUUCUCUUUGCCGCCGCUGUCUCAUCAUCACCUCCCAGUGGCUUCACCAUCGACUUAUUCAAGCGUCGCCUCAAUUCAUCUUCUUCUCGAAUCUAUAAUACUCAGCUCGGAUCUCCUUACGCGGAUACUCUCUUUGAUACCUCCGUGUAUCUUAUGAAAUUACAAAUAGGUACUCCUCCUGUUGAGAUCGAAGCUAUCUUAGACACAGGAAGCGAGGUCGUCUGGUCAGAUUGUUUGCCUUGUCAUAACUGCUUUAAACAAAGCGGUCCAGCAUUCAACCCUUUAGAUUCCUCGACCUACGAAGCGAAAAUAUGCGAUGGCAGUCCUUGUCAGUAUGAGAUAGACUACACAGACCAAAGCUAUACAAGAGGAACCUAUGCAACCGAGACUGUCACGAUCCAAUCAACUUCAGGCCAUUCCUAUGUAAUGCCUAAAACCACUAUUGGAUGUUCCCACAACGCCUCAGUCACGUUUCAAACAAGCGCUUCGGGCAUUGUUGGUCUAAACUGGGGACCUUGGUCACUCGUCUCUCAGAUGGGGGAUGACAUGCUAGGUCUCAUGUCUUACUGCUUUUCCGGUGAGGGAACUAGUAAGCUCAACUUUGGAGGUAAUGCUAUUGUGUCAGGAGAUGGGACUGUAUCAGCCAAUAUGUUUAAGAAGGAGGAGGAUCCCAAUCAGUAUUACCUAAACCUAGAUGCGAUCAGCGUUGGGAAGACUCGCAUUGAGACACUGGGGACACCGUUUCACGCCUCAAACGGGAACAUGAUCAUUGACUCUGGAACAACUUACACUUUCUUGCGCAAGACCUACUACAACAAAGUGAGGAAGGCAGUGGAAAACAUUGUGAAGGCGGAUCAAGAAGAUUCCGGGGACAACUGGCUUUGCUACAAAACGAACAACAUGGAUAUCUUUCCAGUGAUCACAAUGCAUUUCCAAGGUGGUGUGGAUCUUGUUUUGGAUAAAUACAAUACGUAUAUGAUCAGUGGAGAAACCAUUUGUCUGAUGAUUUUAUGUGAUAGCCGGACACCAGUUUUUGGUAACAGAGCACAAAACAAUUUUUGGGUUGGUUAUGAUCCGUCUUCACUAUUGGUUUCUUUUAAACCCACCAAGUGUUCUGCAUUGUGGAGUUAGACAAGACAAACAAGAGAGUCAUUUUUCAAUAAUAAAGACCACAUAGGAUGGAUUUGUUUAUGUGAAUGAGUUGUUGAGUCGCAAUCAUAAUAAAUCAUUAAUAACCUUUUAGACACACACACAGCUCCAUGCGUUACCUCCAAGAACUCAUGCAUCACUUUUCUCUCUCUUCAUCCAUUGAUAAUGUAGGAAGAUGCACAACCUGUUGUAAAAUCUUGUUCGAAUUGAGGUUGGAUUAACUACGAUUGAUUCACGUUUACAAAUUUCUCCAACGCGUAAAGUCUAUUUUCUCCAACUGCUUGUUUUUCCUUCAGUCUUAUCUUCUUCUUCUUCUUUAUUUUAAAUUCACACACAAGACCUACUAGACCCACAUUUACAGGGGCACAUGCAGUGAAACAUCGGUCUUGACCCCCAAAUUUUUUGAUGGUAUAGUGUAUUAUUAAAACAUUCAAAACAAAAAAAAAAAGUUAUUUGUAUCCAAGUCUAAGAUUUCUGCUCCGUCCAAAUGUCUAAACCGAAUUUUUACAAAAUUGUGUGAAAUUGAUUAUGCGAAGCUCAUUAUCACGACAGUAAUUUAUACCUUUUCAUCAAGUGUUUGGAAUUGGUGUAAUUAUAAAUAUUGAAUAGUUGAAUGAUCUUUAAGUGUGUGUGUUUGUAAAAUGCCAAAGAAGCAAGUCUCAACAAGCCCUGGUUUUAAGUUUUAUGAUUGUUCAUUCAUGUGUGUUUGAUAACGCAGGGAUGACUUGUCACUACAGUACUCUCCUACGAGGACCCAAUAACAAGCACUAGCUCAUCCCAACCCGACAGCCGCCCUACUAGUCCUGUUUCACCUUACCGAUACCAAAGACCUCUUACUUCAACAGCCUCACACCAUUUGUCAAAUUCACAUUCAUGCCCUGCCUCCAUGAGUACUAGUGCAACUCCACAGUCUCGCCAAAGAGGAUCUGACACGGAAGGAAGGUUUCCCUCAUCGCCUAG
Molecule: long non-coding RNA, 3824 nt
Filed under: Brassica napus (rape)
Lineage: Eukaryota; Viridiplantae; Streptophyta; Magnoliopsida; Brassicales; Brassicaceae
Description: long non-coding RNA (BNAP_LNC002426)
Source: RNAcentral